Molecule: ribosomal RNA, 549 nt
Filed under: uncultured bacterium
Lineage: Bacteria
Description: bacterial SSU rRNA
Rfam family: Bacterial small subunit ribosomal RNA
Source: RNAcentral
UGGGGAAUAUUGGACAAUGGGCGAAAGCCUGAUCCAGCCAUGCCGCGUGUGUGAAGAAGGCCUUAUGGUUGUAAAGCACUUUAAGUGGGGAGGAAAAGCUUAUGGAUAACACCCAUAGGUUCUGACGUUACCCACAGAAUAAGCACCGGCUAACUCUGUGCCAGCAGCCGCGGUAAUACAGAGGGUGCAAGCGUUAAUCGGAAUUACUGGGCGUAAAGCGAGCGUAGGUGGUUUAUUAAGUCAGAUGUGAAAUCCCUGGGCUUAACCUAGGAACUGCAUCUGAUACUGAUAAACUAGAGUAGGUGAGAGGGAAGUAGAAUUCCAGGUGUAGCGGUGAAAUGCGUAGAGAUCUGGAGGAAUACCGAUGGCGAAGGCAGCUUUCUGGCAUCAUACUGACACUGAGGUUCGAAAGCGUGGGUAGCAAACAGGAUUAGAUACCCUGGUAGUCCACGCCGUAAACGAUGUCUACCAGUCGUUGGGUCUUUUAAAGGCUUAGUGACGCAGUUAACGCGAUAAGUAGACCGCCUGGGGAGUACGGCCGCAAGGUUA